GAUGAAGAACGCAGCGAAAUGCGAUACGUAAUGUGAAUUGCAAAUUCAGUGAAUCAUCGAGUCUUUGAACGCACAUUGCGCCCCCUGGUAUUCCGGGGGGCAUGCCUGUCCGAGCGUCAUUGCUGCCCUCAAGCACGGCUUGUGUGUUGGGCCCCGUCCUCCGAUCCCGGGGGACGGGCCCGAAAGGCAGCGGCGGCACCGCGUCCGGUCCUCGAGCGUAUGGGGCUCUGUCACCCGCUCUGUAGGCCCGGCCGGCGCUUGCCGAUCAACCCAAAUUUUUUAUCCAGGUUGACCUCGGAUCAGGUAGGGAUACCCGCUGAACUUAAGCAUAUCAAUAAGCGGAGGA
This 346-nucleotide unclassified non-coding RNA is filed under the name soil metagenome. Its description in RNAcentral is "partial contains 5.8S ribosomal RNA, internal transcribed spacer 2, and large subunit ribosomal RNA". The stretch from base 1 to 119 matches the Rfam family "5.8S ribosomal RNA", at positions 35 to 154 of the family's 154-position model. The record is from RNAcentral.